CUGACCGAGCACGCCGCGUGAGUGAAGAAGGUUUUCGGAUCGUAAAACUCUGUUGGUAGAGAAGAACGUUGGUGAGAGUGGAAAGCUCAUCAAGUGACGGUAACUACCCAAAAAGGGACGGCUAAUAUACGUGCCAGCAGCCGCGGUAAUACGG
Molecule: ribosomal RNA, 154 nt
Filed under: uncultured bacterium
Lineage: Bacteria
Description: partial 16S ribosomal RNA
Rfam family: Bacterial small subunit ribosomal RNA
Source: RNAcentral